AGAACUUGCAGAAGGAUUGCUGUUACAAGUCCAGUGGUCCAAAGGCCAGAGAGCCUGAACUUUGAUGUCCUAGGCAGAUAGGAGAUAAGCCUGUCCCAGGCUUAAGAGGAAAGAUUAGCUCUCUUUCUGCAUGUGUGCUCUCUGGACUGCCAUGUGAGUGAUGUUGCCUGCUCACAUGGAGGGCAAGUCUGGGUCACAUCCAGCCCACCCAGACUCGCAUGCUGACCUCCUCAAGAAACAUCUCACAGGCAUACUCAGAACAAUGCUUUUCAAUGUUUCUAGGUACUCCUUAGUCCUUAGUCAAAUUGGCACACAAAAUCAACCAUUACAAUGGGUCCAGCCGACAAUACACAGAACUUAGAUUUCAGCCUCACUCAGGGUGGCUUUGAUUACAAGCAGUCAGGAUAAACCCUCUAAAUGGAUAGAGCUUUCCACUUGUAUCCUUAGGAGGCAGGUGGUUGUAAUAUGUUACCUAGUUGGUUAGGAGCCAAAGGACUCUGGAGACAGGGAGGGCUAAGGUAGAGACAGUUGGGUACAAAUUUAAUUUGUGAAUGGGCAAGAUUGUGAAGAUCUUUGUAUUGAAUAUUAAUGUCUACCCAAGAGCAUCCAGCUAGAAGAGGCACUAAAUGAUCAAGGAGCCACAGUGGUGUGUUCUGUUUAUCAUCAGCUUCUUUCAUCAGCCAUUCCAAGGCUGGUACAAUGGGCUCACCAUUAAUGUGGCUAUGGUGGCAGAGAUGGAGGCCACACAUGGGUUUAAGAGCUUAAAAUCCUUGUCAUCGAGGCUGAUCCAACUAGUUCUGUAGCCAAGCACCCUAUCACAGGGCCAACACCAAGCACAUGAUAGGACACUUGAUGAUAAGUGGAUUACAUUGGACUUCUCAUUCCCCACCAAGCUCUGGGCGCCAUGGAGUUAAAGCACUUGUUCACAAAGACGGAAUGUGUCCAACAAAGCACUCGGUACAACUCCCACUGAACGGUGAAUGUGCAGAAAGCUGUGCCAUGAGCCUGCCGGCGAGGCCCUGAAGGGGUGAACAAGACAGAGCUGCUCCCACGGAGGGGUCUGAGGGCCCGCUUGAGGGAGGUGGAUAGAAACUUGGAGAGAGACAUUUUUUGAGGGAUUGGAUGAUAAUAAACAACAAAAG
Heterocephalus glaber (naked mole-rat) is the source of this 1142-nucleotide long non-coding RNA. RefSeq lists it as uncharacterized. Lineage: Eukaryota; Metazoa; Chordata; Mammalia; Rodentia; Bathyergidae. The record is from RefSeq and is a predicted model, not a curated record.